RNAcentral lists this long non-coding RNA (1667 nucleotides) under Strigops habroptila (Kakapo). Its description in RNAcentral is "lncRNA (ENSSHBG00005000489.1)". Lineage: Eukaryota; Metazoa; Chordata; Aves; Psittaciformes; Psittacidae. The record is from RNAcentral.
UUAGGUUUUUUCAUAUCUUUACUUAUUUAGCAGCAGGAAAAGGACAGAGACAGCCAGGCACAGCGGCAUUCCAAAGGGCAACAUCUUUGGAUGCAAGGGCAGGGCCAAGGGCAGAGUGCUGGAAAAUGUAAGAUAGCCGAGUACAGCAGUGAUGGCAUUGGGAACAUGAUGGUUAUACACAUGACAGGAGGCGGCAAUAUCAUCUGUAUCACACAUAAUGCUUUCACUAUACAUUAACCUCUUUAAAAAUUAAUUGCAAAAAUUCUUUACACUGUUCAGACAAUUUCUCUAUGGAUAGCAGGGAACAGGGUUUGCCACAUAGUUUUCUGUCAGGCUGAGCCUACUGCCCUUUUGUGUUUUUCUCUGUGAAGUUUUUUUGUGACAAUAUCUGAUUGCCUUACACCUUGCAGAUCAUUGCUAUGCCCUUAUCCUUCAGUGGAGCGGCAAGAGUUUUUCAGAUUCCCGUUACAAAUCUCCCACUGACCAUCUGCUAUUACCACCUUAACGAGAAAUCACUUGUUGAAAGGUCAUUAAGUGGUUACAGUCCAGGACAAGGUUCCAAGCUCAUUAUAAUACUUCCUCCUCCACUACUAAGCAGUAGUGAUAAGCCAAGAGUCUUAGCUGAUAUGAUUCAGUGCAUUUCUACUAUUUCAGUAAGGUUACCUUGGUUUACAUGACAUUUAGCUUAAAAGCAUUUAGGUUAAUUUAUAUCCCAGCCUUUGGUUAAAGCGAGUUUUUGUGUGCCAUCAUUUUCACAUAGAAACUCAGGAUAAUCAAGGAAGAUUCUUUUCUAGUCUUUAUUAUUCUUUUAAUCACCAGGGAUAGGAUGUUUUAAAGAUAAUUAUGGAAUUAUCUCUAUAUAAGCUAGAGUUUUUUUCUAGCAUUCGUGGUGUGAGAAGAGGGUUUGUGUUUCUGCUCAGAGCACAGGUUUCCUGUAAAGCUACUCUGGCUUUGGAUUUACGUACCAUUUGCAGAGGAAGAUCUAUCUGCUUAAAUCUUCCAGUUCAGGUUUUGCUGAGUCAGUUUUAUACAUCAGCUUGAAGUAAGCUUCAAGCAGUGGGGCCAGAGGUAGUUCACAGCUUUUGAAAUAGUUUUUCUUCUUAAAGCAAACCUCUAUAUUUCUCUUCCCGCAUCAGGUCUUUGCUGUGAUCUGUUUCAACUAAACUAGGAGUAGUUUUGCAGCCACCCUGUUAGGGCUCUGGAUUUCAAGACAAUCUCCAAGAUAAGUGUCACAAAACAAAACAGAGCGAGGUAAGCUGUUACAGCACAUUUGUAAACAAGAAAAAGCCAAACCAAGCUGUCUCUUAUUGUAGAGACAUAUAGCAGGAGUACAAAACUGCUGUGAAAAAAAGCCUGGCAGUGUGAUUCAGAACAUAUCACUCAGGGAGACUGAUGGCCUGGCUGUACUUAGGUUUGGAAAAAAAUGUUUUGAGAGGUUCUCCUGCUGCCACAUACUCUAUUUUAGUUCUGGGGCUCAUCCUCUAAUGCCGUAUAUAUUCUGAGUAGUAAAGAAACCACCUGAUGUCCAGCUUCAUUUCAGGGAAAGGGAGGGCAUAGGUAUGAUGGGUGCUAGAAGACAAGUUUGGAUGUACUCGGAUUACUGGGAGAUAGUUCAGGGAGACACCUUGAAAGGUCAAUGUCAGGAAUGCAGAAUGCUAAUGAUGCUA